AAGUCCCGCAAGGGAUGAGUAGAGUGGCAAACGGGUGAGUAACACGUGGGUGACCUGCCUUCGAGCGGGGGAUAACGUCCCGAAAGGGACGCUAAUACCGCAUGACAUCCUGCCUUUGAAGAGGCGGAGAUCAAAGCUGGGGAUCGCAAGACCUAGCACUUGAAGAGGGGCCCGCGCCUGAUUAGCUAGUUGGUGGGGUAACGGCUCACCAAGGCAACGAUCAGUAUCCGGCCUGAGAGGGCGGACGGACACACUGGGACUGAGACACGGCCCAGACUCCUACGGGAGGCAGCAGUGGGGAAUUGUUCGCAAUGGGCGCAAGCCUGACGACGCAACGCCGCGUGGAGGAUGAAGACCUUCGGGUCGUAAACUCCUUUCGAUCGAGACGAAUGGCUUCCGGGUGAACAAUCCGGGAGAAUGACGGUACCGAGAGAAGAAGCCCCGGCUAACUCCGUGCCAGCAGCCGCGGUAAUACGGGGGGGGCAAGCGUUGUUCGGAAUUACUGGGCGUAAAGGGCUCGUAGGCGGCCAACUAAGUCAGUCGUGAAAUCCCUCGGCUUAACCGGGGAACUGCAUCUGAUACUGGAUGGCUUGAGAUUGGGAGAGGGAUGCGGAAUUCCAGGUGUAGCGGUGAAAUGCGUAGAUAUCUGGAGGAACACCGGUGGCGAAGGCGGCAUCCUGGACCAACACUGACGCUGAGGAGCGAAAGCC
RNAcentral lists this ribosomal RNA (710 nucleotides) under uncultured Acidobacteriota bacterium. Its description in RNAcentral is "bacterial SSU rRNA". It matches the Rfam family "Bacterial small subunit ribosomal RNA", at positions 72 to 761 of the family's 1533-position model. The record is from RNAcentral. Lineage: Bacteria; Pseudomonadati; Acidobacteriota.